Molecule: ribosomal RNA, 1688 nt
Filed under: Escherichia coli
Lineage: Bacteria; Pseudomonadati; Pseudomonadota; Gammaproteobacteria; Enterobacterales; Enterobacteriaceae
Description: partial 23S ribosomal RNA
Rfam family: Bacterial large subunit ribosomal RNA
Source: RNAcentral
ACCAGUACCGUGAGGGAAAGGCGAAAAGAACCCCGGCGAGGGGAGUGAAAAAGAACCUGAAACCGUGUACGUACAAGCAGUGGGAGCACGCUUAGGCGUGUGACUGCGUACCUUUUGUAUAAUGGGUCAGCGACUUAUAUUCUGUAGCAAGGUUAACCGAAUAGGGGAGCCGAAGGGAAACCGAGUCUUAACUGGGCGUUAAGUUGCAGGGUAUAGACCCGAAACCCGGUGAUCUAGCCAUGGGCAGGUUGAAGGUUGGGUAACACUAACUGGAGGACCGAACCGACUAAUGUUGAAAAAUUAGCGGAUGACUUGUGGCUGGGGGUGAAAGGCCAAUCAAACCGGGAGAUAGCUGGUUCUCCCCGAAAGCUAUUUAGGUAGCGCCUCGUGAAUUCAUCUCCGGGGGUAGAGCACUGUUUCGGCAAGGGGGUCAUCCCGACUUACCAACCCGAUGCAAACUGCGAAUACCGGAGAAUGUUAUCACGGGAGACACACGGCGGGUGCUAACGUCCGUCGUGAAGAGGGAAACAACCCAGACCGCCAGCUAAGGUCCCAAAGUCAUGGUUAAGUGGGAAACGAUGUGGGAAGGCCCAGACAGCCAGGAUGUUGGCUUAGAAGCAGCCAUCAUUUAAAGAAAGCGUAAUAGCUCACUGGUCGAGUCGGCCUGCGCGGAAGAUGUAACGGGGCUAAACCAUGCACCGAAGCUGCGGCAGCGACGCUGAUGCGUUGUUGGGUAGGGGAGCGUUCUGUAAGCCUGUGAAGGUGUGCUGUGAGGCAUGCUGGAGGUAUCAGAAGUGCGAAUGCUGACAUAAGUAACGAUAAAGCGGGUGAAAAGCCCGCUCGCCGGAAGACCAAGGGUUCCUGUCCAACGUUAAUCGGGGCAGGGUGAGUCGACCCCUAAGGCGAGGCCGAAAGGCGUAGUCGAUGGGAAACAGGUUAAUAUUCCUGUACUUGGUGUUACUGCGAAGGGGGGACGGAGAAGGCUAUGUUGGCCGGGCGACGGUUGUCCCGGUUUAAGCGUGUAGGCUGGUUUUCCAGGCAAAUCCGGAAAAUCAAGGCUGAGGCGUGAUGACGAGGCACUACGGUGCUGAAGCAACAAAUGCCCUGCUUCCAGGAAAAGCCUCUAAGCAUCAGGUAACAUCAAAUCGUACCCCAAACCGACACAGGUGGUCAGGUAGAGAAUACCAAGGCGCUUGAGAGAACUCGGGUGAAGGAACUAGGCAAAAUGGUGCCGUAACUUCGGGAGAAGGCACGCUGAUAUGUAGGUGAAGCGACUUGCUCGUGGAGCUGAAAUCAGUCGAAGAUACCAGCUGGCUGCAACUGUUUAUUAAAAACACAGCACUGUGCAAACACGAAAGUGGACGUAUACGGUGUGACGCCUGCCCGGUGCCGGAAGGUUAAUUGAUGGGGUCAGCGCAAGCGAAGCUCUUGAUCGAAGCCCCGGUAAACGGCGGCCGUAACUAUAACGGUCCUAAGGUAGCGAAAUUCCUUGUCGGGUAAGUUCCGACCUGCACGAAUGGCGUAAUGAUGGCCAGGCUGUCUCCACCCGAGACUCAGUGAAAUUGAACUCGCUGUGAAGAUGCAGUGUACCCGCGGCAAGACGGAAAGACCCCGUGAACCUUUACUAUAGCUUGACACUGAACAUUGAGCCUUGAUGUGUAGGAUAGGUGGGAGGCUUUGAAGUGUGG